RNAcentral lists this ribosomal RNA (252 nucleotides) under uncultured bacterium. RNAcentral describes it as "partial 16S ribosomal RNA". It matches the Rfam family "Bacterial small subunit ribosomal RNA", at positions 524 to 776 of the family's 1533-position model. The record is from RNAcentral.
UACGGAGGAUGCGAGCGUUAUCCGGAUUUAUUGGGUUUAAAGGGUGCGUAGGCGGACGCUUAAGUCAGCGGUAAAAUUGCGGGGCUCAACCUCGUCGAGCCGUUGAAACUGGGUGUCUUGAGUGGGCGAGAAGUACGCGGAAUGCGUGGUGUAGCGGUGAAAUGCAUAGAUAUCACGCAGAACUCCGAUUGCGAAGGCAGCGUACCGGCGCACAACUGACGCUGAAGCACGAAGGCGUGGGUAUCGAACAGG